Molecule: ribosomal RNA, 497 nt
Filed under: uncultured bacterium
Lineage: Bacteria
Description: partial 16S ribosomal RNA
Rfam family: Bacterial small subunit ribosomal RNA
Source: RNAcentral
GAUGAACGCUGGCGGCGUGCCUAAUACAUGCAAGUCGAGCGAACGGACGCGAAGCCUGCUUCUCUGAUGUUAGCGGCGGACGGGUGAGUAACACGUGGAUAACCUACCUAUAAGACUGGGAUAACUUCGGGAAACCGGAGCUAAUACCGGAUAAUAUUUUGAACCGCAUGGUUCAAAAGUGAAAGACGGUCUUGCUGUCACUUAUCGAUGGAUCCGCGCUGCAUUAGCUAGUUGGUAAGGUAACGGCUUACCAAGGCAACGAUGCAUAGCCGACCUGAGAGGGUGAUCGGCCACACGGGAACUGAGACACGGACCAGGCUCCUACGGGAGGCAGCAGUAGGGAAUCUUACGCAAUGGGCGAAAGCAUGACGGAGCAACGCCGCGUGAGUGAUGAAGGUGUUCGGAUCGUAAAACUCUGUUAUUAGGGAAGAACAUAUGUGUAAGUAACUGUGCACAUCGUGACGGUACCUAAUCAGAAAGCCACGGCUAACUACGUG